RNAcentral lists this transfer RNA (82 nucleotides) under Bigelowiella natans CCMP2755. RNAcentral's name for it is "tRNA-Ser for anticodon CGA". It matches the Rfam family "tRNA". From Rfam's summary of the family: Transfer RNA (tRNA) molecules are approximately 80 nucleotides in length. Their secondary structure includes four short double-helical elements and three loops (D, anti-codon, and T loops). Lineage: Eukaryota; Cercozoa; Chlorarachniophyceae. The record is from RNAcentral.
GACGCCUUGUCCGAGUGGUUAAGGAGAAUGACUUGAAAUCAUUUGGGCUUUGCCCGCACAGGUUCGAACCCUGUAGGCGUCG